UCCCUUGGGAGAGGUCAUCCGUGUGGGCUGCGGUGCCAUCAAUACGCUCAUGACAUCCAGCUCUACCUAUCUUUUAAAGUCAGCAGACACCAGGGAGGCAGUGGAUGCUCUGAACCGGGGCUUGGAGGCUGUGCUGGACUGGAUAGGGGCAAACAAGGUGAAACUUAAUCUAGAUAAGAUGGAAGUGCUCUAGGUUGGUGGAACUGAUCAUCUGAAUAAUAAGGAUUUCUCUGUUCUUCUGUGAGGAUCCUGUACUUGGCUGUAGACAUCCAGAUUCUUGAGGUGGUCCUUGCUUCUCUGAAUAAUUCUGCUGGCCCAGCUGCUGACUUCUGUACACUUUCUCCAGCUGCGCAAUUGUCAUUCUUACAUGAUACAGUUCUAUGUUUGCUGGGAGCAGGGUUCUAAUAUCUUGUAUUCUUGUUAUAUCUUGGAGGGAAAAAGAAAAUAAUUGUUUUCUGAAUUGGAAAUAUGACUUUGAAGCUGCUACACUCAUUUUCAAAUUCAUAAUUCUCCCUGCCAACCCCCACGGGUGGGGAGGGGGAGAGCAAGCAGGCGGGUAAGCCUGCAAUUUCUACAGAGAGAACCAUUUGUCUUGUUUCCCAUUUAUACUCAAGAUAUGUUUGUUUAAACUCAAGACAAUACUCCUCCAAUAUAUGUCAAACAUAAUUAGAUAUUGCACCUCUUUGCCCAAGAACAAGGUCCUUUCACUGACAAGUAAGUUUUAUUAUUUGUAUCUUCCUUACAUUAAAGGUUACAGAGUUAGGCUGAAUAUCUUACCAGA
Long non-coding RNA from Hemicordylus capensis (graceful crag lizard), 781 nucleotides. RefSeq lists it as uncharacterized. NCBI's taxonomy places the organism in Eukaryota, Metazoa, Chordata, Lepidosauria, Squamata, Cordylidae. The record is from RefSeq and is a predicted model, not a curated record. The transcript has 2 exons.